GACGAACCGUGCGAACGUUGUUCGGAAUCACUGGGCUUGAAGGGCGCGUAGGCGGCAGAUCAAGUCCGGGGUGAAAUCCUCCAGCUCAACUGGAGAAGUGCCUUGGAUACUGAUGUGCUCGAGGGAGGUAGGGGUCCGCGGAACUUCUGGUGGAGCGGUGAAAUGCGUUGAUAUCAGAAGGAACGCCGGUGGCGAAAGCGGCGGACUGGAUCUCUUCUGACGCUGAGGCGCGAAAGCUAGGGGAGCAAACGGG
RNAcentral lists this ribosomal RNA (253 nucleotides) under uncultured bacterium. RNAcentral's name for it is "partial 16S ribosomal RNA". It matches the Rfam family "Bacterial small subunit ribosomal RNA", at positions 524 to 776 of the family's 1533-position model. RNAcentral also lists the same sequence under 1 other name. The record is from RNAcentral.